Molecule: transfer RNA, 69 nt
Filed under: Diaphorencyrtus aligarhensis
Lineage: Eukaryota; Metazoa; Arthropoda; Insecta; Hymenoptera; Encyrtidae
Description: tRNA-Ser
Source: RNAcentral
AAUUAUUUAGCUAUUUAAGCAAUAUGCCUUGAAAGCAUAAUAAAGAAAUAUAAAUCUUUCUAAUAAUUU